Molecule: unclassified non-coding RNA, 282 nt
Filed under: Hevea brasiliensis (rubber tree)
Lineage: Eukaryota; Viridiplantae; Streptophyta; Magnoliopsida; Malpighiales; Euphorbiaceae
Source: RNAcentral
UGAAGUUUAGUUGCACUUUUAGAGAGCCUGACAUUUAUUUUCCGUAGUUUAAACAAAUCAAAUUUUUUUUGUUUAUUUUUAAUGAAAGAAUUAAAUACUCUCUUGGCCCUUGUAUCAUUAUAGUAAAUUUGUAUUUUUAGUGAUGAACUUCCCCAAGGAUAUGCUUGCAAUUGUACCUCCAAAUUAUGCCAAUAUAUUAUUAUAAUAAUAAAUAAGAGGUGGAGAGAAAAAGCACUAUCACCUUUCUUCUUUUUCUCUUUCUUCAUUUUCUACUUUUCCUUA